RNAcentral lists this ribosomal RNA (618 nucleotides) under cyanobacterium 2-3. RNAcentral's name for it is "bacterial SSU rRNA". It matches the Rfam family "Bacterial small subunit ribosomal RNA", at positions 122 to 770 of the family's 1533-position model. Lineage: Bacteria; Bacillati; Cyanobacteriota. The record is from RNAcentral.
GAAUCUGGCUUCAGGUCUGGGACAACCACUGGAAACGGUGGCUAAUACCGGAUGUGCCCUUAGGGGUGAAAGAUUAAUUGCCUGAAGAUGAGCUCGCGUCUGAUUAGCUAGUAGGUGUGGUAAAGGCGCACCUAGGCGACGAUCAGUAGCUGGUCUGAGAGGACGAUCAGCCACACUGGGACUGAGACACGGCCCAGACUCCUACGGGAGGCAGCAGUGGGGAAUUUUCCGCAAUGGGCGAAAGCCUGACGGAGCAAUACCGCGUGAGGGAGGAAGGCUCUUGGGUCGUAAACCUCUUUUCUCAGGGAAGAACACAAUGACGGUACCUGAGGAAUAAGCAUCGGCUAACUCCGUGCCAGCAGCCGCGGUAAUACGGAGGAUGCAAGCGUUAUCCGGAAUGAUUGGGCGUAAAGCGUCCGCAGGUGGCUGUGUAAGUCUGCUGUUAAAGAGUCUAGCUCAACUAGAUACAAGCAGUGGAAACUACACGGCUAGAGUACGUUCGGGGCAGAGGGAAUUCCUGGUGUAGCGGUGAAAUGCGUAGAGAUCAGGAAGAACACCAGUGGCGAAGGCGCUCUGCUAGGCCGUAACUGACACUGAGGGACGAAAGCUAGGGGAGCG